RNAcentral lists this ribosomal RNA (486 nucleotides) under uncultured bacterium. RNAcentral's name for it is "partial 16S ribosomal RNA". It matches the Rfam family "Bacterial small subunit ribosomal RNA", at positions 28 to 507 of the family's 1533-position model. The record is from RNAcentral.
GAUGAACGCUGGCGGCGUGCCUAAUACAUGCAGGUCGAACGCUGGAAAUCUAGCUUGCUAGAUUGAAGGAGUGGCGAACGGGUGAGUAAUACAUAAGCAACCUACCCACGAAGACUGGGAUAAUCUCUGGAAACGGGGACUAAUACCGGAUAGGUAAUCGGAAGGCAUCUUCUGAUUAUUAAAGGUUAAAAACACUGGUGGAUGGGCUUAUGGCGCAUUAGUUAGUUGGUGAGGUAACGGCCCACCAAGACGAUGAUGCGUAGCCGGCCUGAGAGGGUGAACGGCCACAUUGGGACUGAGACACGGCCCAGACUCCUACGGGAGGCAGCAGUAGGGAAUUUUCGGCAAUGGGGGAAACCCUGACCGAGCAACGCCGCGUGAGUGAUGGCGGCCUUCGGGUUGUAAAGCUCUGUUGUAAGGGAAGAACGGUAGAUAGAGAAUAUCUAAAUGACGGUACCUUACCAGAAAGCCACGGCUAACUACGUG